RNAcentral lists this long non-coding RNA (332 nucleotides) under Olea europaea (common olive). RNAcentral describes it as "long non-coding RNA (OEUR_LNC007317)". Lineage: Eukaryota; Viridiplantae; Streptophyta; Magnoliopsida; Lamiales; Oleaceae. The record is from RNAcentral.
GGGCUUUGGACUUGACCGAAUCGAAGAGAUUCUGAUUCUAGAUAACUGUGGAAUCGAUCCCCUGCUGCCGAAUGGGUAUAUCUCUCUCGCAUAUUAACCGAAAUUCCGCCAUUCGAGUUCAUACACUGUUCUCUCCUUCGCUCUGCAUCUGCAUCUAUGUGAAAAAUUUGUAUUCUGCCUGCGAAUUUGUGGAUCUCUGAUGAAAGGGUUUCAAUUGAAGAGAGGAAUUAUUUAUCCCGCCAUUUUGUUUUGCUUCGCUUCAAAUAGUUGUACUUUUCUUCUUCAAUUUUUACUCGCUUUUUUUCCUCCCUCUUGUUGUACAUGUUCCCCUA